ACACGUGGGCAACCUACCUUAUAGUUUGGGAUAACUCCGGGAAACCGGGGCUAAUACCGAAUAAUCUGUUUCACCUCAUGGUGAAACACUGAAAGACGGUUUCGGCUGUCGCUAUAGGAUGGGCCCGCGGCGCAUUAGCUAGUUGGUGAGGUAACGGCUCACCAAGGCGACGAUGCGUAGCCGACCUGAGAGGGUGAUCGGCCACACUGGGACUGAGACACGGCCCAGACUCCUACGGGAGGCAGCAGUAGGGAAUCUUCCACAAUGGGCGAAAGCCUGAUGGAGCAACGCCGCGUGAGUGAAGAAGGAUUUCGGUUCGUAAAACUCUGUUGUAAGGGAAGAACAAGUACAGUAGUAACUGGCUGUACCUUGACGGUACCUUAUUAGAAAGCC
This 393-nucleotide ribosomal RNA is filed under the name Lysinibacillus fusiformis. Its description in RNAcentral is "bacterial SSU rRNA". It matches the Rfam family "Bacterial small subunit ribosomal RNA", at positions 113 to 492 of the family's 1533-position model. Lineage: Bacteria; Bacillati; Bacillota; Bacilli; Caryophanales; Bacillaceae. The record is from RNAcentral.